GUGGGGAAUAUUGGACAAUGGGCGAAAGCCUGAUCCAGCCAUGCCGCGCGUGUGAAGAAGGUCUUCGGAUUGUAAAGCACUUUAAGUUGGGAGGAAGGGCAGUAAGUUAAUACCUUGCUGUUUUGACGUUACCGACAGAAUAAGCACCGGCUAACUUCGUGCCAGCAGCCGCGGUAAUACGAAGGGUGCAAGCGUUAAUCGGAAUUACUGGGCGUAAAGCGCGCGUAGGUGGUUUUGUAAGUUGGAGGUGAAAUCCCCGGGCUCAACCUGGGAACUGCCUCCAAAAAUGCAUGACUAGAGUACGGUAGAGGGUAGUGGAAUUUCCUGUGUAGCGGUGAAAUGCGUAGAUAUAGGAAGGAACACCAGUGGCGAAGGCGACUACCUGGACUGAUACUGACACUGAGGUGCGAAAGCGUGGGGAGCAAACAGGAUUAGAUACCCCAGUAGUCC
RNAcentral lists this ribosomal RNA (450 nucleotides) under uncultured bacterium. RNAcentral describes it as "partial 16S ribosomal RNA". It matches the Rfam family "Bacterial small subunit ribosomal RNA", at positions 354 to 796 of the family's 1533-position model. The record is from RNAcentral.